Molecule: long non-coding RNA, 1354 nt
Filed under: Parus major (Great Tit)
Lineage: Eukaryota; Metazoa; Chordata; Aves; Passeriformes; Paridae
Description: lncRNA (ENSPMJG00000000154.1)
Source: RNAcentral
GGGGCGGGGCCCGCUCGAAGCCACGCCCCCGCCCGCUGUGGGGCUGUGGGGGCCGGGGGAGAUUGAGGUACGGUCCCUUCAUUCUCCCUGUCCAGCGCCUCUGGAAUUGCUUGUUUCCAACCACUGUCCCUCUUCAUUGCAUAGCAGCAACAUGAGUGAUUGGAUAAAUCCUCUUGAGGAUUGCGAUUAACACAGAAGGAAACCCCUAAGUACGAACGGCCACCCGAGGUGGUGACAGCAGCUCCCGUUCCGAGGAGGAAGGCAGCCUGUCCAGACCAGGCGCAGAGGCUGCAAAUACACUUCGGAUUUUUCUUUUUUUUUUUUUAUUUUUUUUUGCUGCGUCGCAUAGUCCCUACAGAUUGGUUCAAGGUCUGCUGUAUUUCCUGGAUCAGGAAGGUUUUGACUGAAAGAUGAGAUUCCUUUGCAGUGGCAUUAUGGGCCACUAAUGGAAAAAGCGGGUGACAUUAAUCCCACAGAUUUAAUUAAUUUCAUCAUCCCACUGAUGAAAAACUUUCUAAAAGCUAAUCAAGCUGUGAGGUAUAUACAUGGUAGAGGAGGGUGUUUCUAUUUGAAAUCUCAAGUAUCUGAAGAGUAGGUCCGAUGAAUUCAUUGGAGAACGAAGAAUGGCAAAGGCAUUUCUGUAACCAGAUCUAAAAUGAAACACUGUCUCCUCAUUAUGUACACUGUGUUAAACCUGACAGUCCUUGGUGAGAAAGCUCUUCCCAUGUAAAAUAAGCAGGAUGUAAUGGACUGUGGGCAUCUGACACUCAUUUCCUAUUACUCUACAGCUACUUCUGUUCAGCCUUGCAUUGCAUGCAUGUGAUUUUAUGCAAUGAAAGACUCAUUACAACUUUAAGCUUUUUGAGGUGCAAUCCUGAGAAGUGCAAAGAAGUUCCCAAAGUCAGUAGGAUUUAUACCACACCAGAGAAGAACGAGCCCUUUUUACAUCUCUGGGUUUUCAGUCACGGCAGUGCUGUAUGUGAUGUAACUGAUACCACCAGAGAGUGUUGAUAUUGGCCUCAACAGCAGCAGAUGGAAGGCUCUAGGUAAGAGCAACAAACACUGAAUCCCAUCACCAGAGUGAACAAAGAAACAGCUUUUCCUACUUUUAGUGUGAAAUAGACCUCUCAACCUUAGAAAAGCUGGGAGAAGAAAUUUCUGCAGAAGAAAUGGUAGUAAAAAUGCUACAUUGCCAAUUCAAAGCUCACUGUUUCUUGGGGAGGCAGAUAGAGAAUCAUGUCCAUGAAGCUGUAAAAUGCUUACAGGUUUCAUUAUUAGGAAUCUUGGAGUGGGAUGGUUUUCUUCAGAUAGGGAAUUAGUGAAAGAAUCAAUAAAUGGAACCACUAAGAGGGCA